CCACCUGAUCCCAUGCCGAACUCAGAAGUGAAACGUUGUAGCGCCGAUGGUAGUGUGGGGUCUCCCCAUGUGAGAGUAGGGAACUGCCAGGC
This 92-nucleotide ribosomal RNA is filed under the name Shigella sp. FC130. Lineage: Bacteria; Pseudomonadati; Pseudomonadota; Gammaproteobacteria; Enterobacterales; Enterobacteriaceae. RNAcentral also lists the same sequence under 1 other name. The record is from RNAcentral.